GCUUGGCUCCUGCAUCACUUAGUGUCCCUUGAGCAACAAGUGCUGUCGCCUGGCAGUGUGGAAAGUUAUUCGAGUAAAUACUGUUGAUGGAAGAGACUGCAUCAGGUGGCCCGAACUCCCGCUCCUGACCUUGCAGCCUCGCGGUAGUUUGCGGAUGCUCGGCCUUCACCUGGCAUGGUUGUUCUCCUCUAGAGGGUCCCUAAAAGACACAAACAUCAUGAGCCAUCAUGAGCCAGAGUCAGAACAGCAAUGAUGAAGCACACCUCAUCACUGCACACCAUAUGGCCUACCCCACCUGCCUAUUGAUGAAAGAGUCUAUGCCCAGAGUCUUCUUGUCUCCUGCCCCAAGCCAGACUGUCAGACUUUAGAACAUCAGUUUCACCUCCACAGUCUUGCAGGCUCCCAGCCACCUGCCAUCAAAGGAAGAAAGGGCCAGGCUGAAAUAUG
This is a long non-coding RNA of Grammomys surdaster, 447 nucleotides long. RefSeq lists it as uncharacterized. The transcript has 3 exons. Lineage: Eukaryota; Metazoa; Chordata; Mammalia; Rodentia; Muridae. The record is from RefSeq and is a predicted model, not a curated record.